CGUAACAAGGUCUCCGUAGGUGAACCUGCGGAGGGAUCAUUACACAAAUAUGAAGGCGGGCUGGAACCUCUCGGGGUUACAGCCUUGCUGAAUUAUUCACCCUUGUCUUUUGCGUACUUCUUGUUUCCUUGGUGGGUUCGCCCACCACUAGGACAAACAUAGACCUUUUGUAAUUGCAAUCAGCGUCAGUAACAAAUUAAUAAUUACAACUUUCAACAACGGAUCUCUUGGUUCUGGCAUCGAUGAAGAACGCAGCGAAAUGCGAUAAGUAGUGUGAAUUGCAGAAUUCAGUGAAUCAUCGAAUCUUUGAACGCACAUUGCGCCCUUUGGUAUUCCAAAGGGCAUGCCUGUUCGAGCGUCAUUUGUACCCUCAAGCUUUGCUUGGUGUUGGGCGUCUUGUCUCUAGCUUUGCUGGAGACUCGCCUUAAAGUAAUUGGCAGCCGGCCUACUGGUUUCGGAGCGCAGCACAAGUCGCACUCUCUAUCAGCAAAGGUCUAGCAUCCAUUAAGCCUUUUUUUCAACUUUUGACCUCGGAUCAGGUAGGGAUACCCGCUGAACUUAAGCAUA
This 567-nucleotide ribosomal RNA is filed under the name uncultured fungus. Its description in RNAcentral is "eukaryotic LSU rRNA". The stretch from base 208 to 361 matches the Rfam family "5.8S ribosomal RNA". The record is from RNAcentral. Lineage: Eukaryota; Fungi.